RNAcentral lists this transfer RNA (55 nucleotides) under Diplodia seriata. It matches the Rfam family "tRNA", at positions 1 to 63 of the family's 71-position model. From Rfam's summary of the family: Transfer RNA (tRNA) molecules are approximately 80 nucleotides in length. The record is from Rfam by way of RNAcentral. Lineage: Eukaryota; Fungi; Ascomycota; Dothideomycetes; Botryosphaeriales; Botryosphaeriaceae.
AGGCAAUGGUAGCGCGUUGGACUUCUAAUCCAAAGGUUGCGGGUCCGAGUCCCGC